UACGAAGGGGGCUAGCGUUGCUCGGAAUCACUGGGCGUAAAGCGCACGUAGGCGGCUUUUUAAGUCAGGGGUGAAAUCCUGGAGCUCAACUCCAGAACUGCCUUUGAUACUGAGAGCUUGAGUCCGGGAGAGGUGAGUGGAACUGCGAGUGUAGAGGUGAAAUUCGUAGAUAUUCGCAAGAACACCAGUGGCGAAGGCGGCUCACUGGCCCGGUACUGACGCUGAGACGCGAAAGCGUGGGGAGCGAACAGG
Molecule: ribosomal RNA, 252 nt
Filed under: uncultured bacterium
Lineage: Bacteria
Description: partial 16S ribosomal RNA
Rfam family: Bacterial small subunit ribosomal RNA
Source: RNAcentral